Molecule: unclassified non-coding RNA, 309 nt
Filed under: air metagenome
Description: partial contains small subunit ribosomal RNA, internal transcribed spacer 1, and 5.8S ribosomal RNA
Rfam family: Eukaryotic small subunit ribosomal RNA (bases 1-46)
Source: RNAcentral
AAGUCGUAACAAGGUUUCCGUAGGUGAACCUGCGGAAGGAUCAUUAGAGAAAUAUUCACAGAGAUCGGCGAGAGAAGGAGGACCACAUUGAUAUCUAACAGAGAUAUAUGGGGGAUGUCUCCUCUGCUUAAAGAUCCUGUGAACAUCAUCUAUUUUUCACCCCAUGUGAACCUUUUCGUGAGUUGGUACAGGUCUCUGUGACCUGGAAGGCUUGCGACUUCUACAUAUACCCCUUAGACGAGUCAUAGAAUGUACCUUUGCGUAUAAUCGCAUCCAAUACAACUUUCAGCAACGGAUCUCUUGGCUCUC